GGGCUCGUAAAGGUUUCGACGGGGAUUUUGAGGUAUGAUAAGCGGGUAGAGCCGGACAAUCUCUUAAAAGGUCCAAACUUAAAAUUAAACGCUAACGAUAGAAACGUUGCAUUGGCUGCCUAAGGGCAGUGCUGCGGCAUAACGCCGCCCGUUCCUCCGAGUAGUAUCACGGACUCGGACUGAGCGUCAUUUUAGUGAUGAACGUGCACAGGUGUUUCGCCAUUGAGCCUGUCACGCAGAAAAUGGCUACCUGACGGAGAAGUUUGUCCGCCAACGGCUCUUGAAGGGAAGCAUAAUAGACGGAAUACACCCGAAGAAGGUCAUAUCAAGAGGU
This 334-nucleotide transfer-messenger RNA is filed under the name Clostridia bacterium. RNAcentral's name for it is "partial transfer-messenger RNA". It matches the Rfam family "transfer-messenger RNA". From Rfam's summary of the family: Bacterial tmRNA, also known as 10Sa RNA or SsrA, is named for its dual tRNA and mRNA-like properties. Lineage: Bacteria; Bacillati; Bacillota; Clostridia. The record is from RNAcentral.